RNAcentral lists this long non-coding RNA (1975 nucleotides) under Salmo trutta (river trout). RNAcentral's name for it is "lncRNA (ENSSTUG00000007162.1)". The record is from RNAcentral. Lineage: Eukaryota; Metazoa; Chordata; Actinopteri; Salmoniformes; Salmonidae.
CUUGUCUGCAACCAUCUAAUCUAGGCCUAUGAAAAGGGGAAACACAAAUUGUGCAAUAUGAAGUCCAUCUAACCUGGAGGAGGAAAUUAUUGUCCAAAAACAAAGUUUCAGGUGGCACUGACCCAACAAUAAUAAAUAGUGAAUAUGCUCAUUGCGCUUCUUUUGAGCCUAUGCGCCUUUUGGAGCGAAUUCUUCUCUGUCUCGAUUAGCUCAACAGUGAAAUGACUGACAACACUGUCAGCCAAUCCGAUGUCUAGCCAGUCAAUUCAAUUCAAGGGGCUUUUUUGGCAUGGGAAACAUAUGUUAACGUUGCCUCAACUUGUCAAAUUGUCUCAACUAGCGAAAAGUCACCAAUGGGAAUACGAGACAGUCGCAAAUAAUUGUAUCCAACCACCAUCUCCUGUUUGACAUGUGGUCCAGUCAUAUUUGCCCUUUGACUUUAGACCCGGGCCCAACUAGAAUUUUCAAAAACUAUCGGCGGCGAUGACACUUUCCCCGCAUCAGAUCAUUGUUGUUUACGUCACACGAAGAGAGAGUUACAGCAUUAUGCUGAUGCCCCACUGUAAGAACCUGGAGAUCUUCACUGUUUCUGGGGAAGGUGACGUGGCCACAAACAAUGCGUGGGACACCUUCCAACGCUACUUCUGUCUGGACAACAGCCAGAGGGUGAUCAAGACAUCUUCAACCCAAUUGGAGGAGACGACCCAAGGUUCCUCGCCUCAGACUUCCUCCAAUGGGUUUUGAGAAGGAUGCGAGUAGUGAGGAGUUGUUUUAGGUGGAAAUGUAUUCUGUUUGCACCACAGGAGGUUGGUGGCGCUGUACCUUAAUUGAGGAGAACGGGCUGGUAAUGACGAGCGGAAUGAGUGGAAUAGUAUCAAACACAUGGUUUCCAGGUGUUUGACGUCAUUCCAUUUGCUCCAUUCCAGCCAUUCUUAUGAGCUGUUCUCCACUCAGCAGCCUUCUGUGGUCACACUUACAUCUUUUGUUCUACUUGUGCUCUUUCCACAGAUUAUUUAAUUUAACCUUUAUUUAACUAGGCAAGUCAGUUAAGAACAAAUUCUUUUUUACAAUGACGGCCAAACCCGGACGACGCUGGGCCAAUUGUGCGCCGCCCUAUGGGACUCCCAAUCACGGCCGGUUGUGAUACAGCUUGGAUUCGAACCAGGGUGUCUGUAUUGGCUGGCUUGCUGAUAUCAUCUGAUCUGAUGAGACUCCCUGCGACUUGACUCCUGUAUUACUGACAGUUUUCAAUAAAACUUCCAGUAGCAAAUUGAAAUAAUUUGAGAUUCUGUAAUUGAAAGACAAUUGUAGUUCCCAAUCAGACAAUUACUAUAAAACAAAUCUGUUUUCCUCAGUGCAGUUGUAAACAACCAUCAUCGAGUCCAUCCUCAGCUCCUCCAUCACUGCAACGGAUUGUCCGGUCUGCUGAGAGGGUCCUUCGAGGUCCUGCACGACUCCAGGGCAAGGAAGCGUGCAGAAAAGAUCAUUGCCAACCCCUUCCGUCCCCUCUGGCAAACGGUUCAGGUCAAUCACGACCAAAACCUCAUGCCACCUGAACAGUUUCUUCCCCUUGUGCCAUGGCCCUCAUCCAACCGGCAACCUGGUCUACGAUGAUCCUGUCAUCCAUGGACUUUGUACUAUUCAUCCACAUACUAUUCACUGCACUAUCAUCCCAGAACUACACAUUGCUCUUUGCACUCUCUGCACAUCUCUUACAUGCAUCAUUUAUAAUGUAGCUUAUAGUGCUCACAGUGUACAUACUGUAUGUGAAUCUGUGAAGAUUCUGCAUCUAUUUUUUGCACUGUAAAUUUUGUUUAUCGUCUGUAUAUUGUUUAUUGUGGCAGCAACAUUUCAGUCAUUCCUGUACAUGCAAAUGUAUUUGGUGAAUAAAGCUGAUAUGUUAACCUGAGUUGAACUGGUUUAUCAUGGGUCAGUUUAUAUUCUAUUAUUUGGGACUGGUUAUGUACUGGAUGAA